Molecule: ribosomal RNA, 448 nt
Filed under: uncultured bacterium
Lineage: Bacteria
Description: bacterial SSU rRNA
Rfam family: Bacterial small subunit ribosomal RNA
Source: RNAcentral
GAACGGCAGCGCGGGAGCAAUCCUGGCGGCGAGUGGCGAACGGGUGAGUAAUACAUCGGAACGUGCCCAAUCGUGGGGGAUAACGCAGCGAAAGCUGUGCUAAUACCGCAUACGAUCUACGGAUGAAAGCAGGGGACCGCAAGGCCUUGCGCGAAUGGAGCGGCCGAUGGCAGAUUAGGUAGUUGGUGGGGUAAAGGCUCACCAAGCCGACGAUCUGUAGCUGGUCUGAGAGGACGACCAGCCACACUGGGACUGAGACACGGCCCAGACUCCUACGGGAGGCAGCAGUGGGGAAUUUUGGACAAUGGGCGCAAGCCUGAUCCAGCCAUGCCGCGUGCAGGAUGAAGGCCUUCGGGUUGUAAACUGCUUUUGUACGGAACGAAAAGGUUCUUUCUAAUAAAGAGAGCUCAUGACGGUACCAUAAGAAUAAGCACCGGCUAACUACGUG